AUCAAAUAAUAUAUAAAAAGUAUAUUUGAUAAAGUGUUCUCUCCAAUCCUAGUUUUCGAUCUUUUGUUGCUUCAUGUAAACGUAUGUUAUAUCCCAAGAGUGACAAUAGGUAUAAAAUUGAUACCUUAACUUUGAGUGCUAAUAAGUCCUUCAUAAAAACUCCAAAUCACAUAAAAUUUGUAUCCAAUGUAUAUUCAAAAACCUAAACUUAAUGAUCUUAGCCUCCAAAAUUCAAAUGACUUCAAAAAAAAAAACCCUAAUUCCUAAUGAAGCCUCACACAUAGCCUUUGAUUAAUAAAAAUGAAGCUCUCCAUUUCUUACCUUUAUCCAAAUAUGCCUUGCUUUCAUCCCUCUCAAUAAACCUCUUAUUAGUUAAGAUUU
RNAcentral lists this long non-coding RNA (381 nucleotides) under Physcomitrium patens. RNAcentral's name for it is "long non-coding RNA (PPAT_LNC001397)". The record is from RNAcentral. Lineage: Eukaryota; Viridiplantae; Streptophyta; Bryopsida; Funariales; Funariaceae.